AUUGAACGCUGGCGGCAUGCCUUACACAUGCAAGUCGAACGGCAGCAUGAUCUAGCUUGCUAGAUUGAUGGCGAGUGGCGAACGGGUGAGUAAUACAUCGGAACGUGCCCUGUAGUGGGGGAUAACUAGUCGAAAGAUUAGCUAAUACCGCAUACGACCUGAGGGUGAAAGCGGGGGACCGCAAGGCCUCAUGCUAUAGGAGCGGCCGAUGUCUGAUUAGCUAGUUGGUGAGGUAAAGGCUCACCAAGGCGACGAUCAGUAGCUGGUCUGAGAGGACGAUCAGCCACACUGGGACUGAGACACGGCCCAGACUCCUACGGGAGGCAGCAGUGGGGAAUUUUGGACAAUGGGCGAAAGCCUGAUCCAGCAAUGCCGCGUGUGUGAAGAAGGCCUUCGGGUUGUAAAGCACUUUUGUCCGGAAAGAAAUGGCUCUGGUUAAUACCUGGGGUCGAUGACGGUACCGGAAGAAUAAGGACCGGCUAACUACGUG
This 490-nucleotide ribosomal RNA is filed under the name uncultured bacterium. Its description in RNAcentral is "partial 16S ribosomal RNA". It matches the Rfam family "Bacterial small subunit ribosomal RNA", at positions 30 to 507 of the family's 1533-position model. The record is from RNAcentral.